This 192-nucleotide ribosomal RNA is filed under the name uncultured bacterium. RNAcentral's name for it is "partial 16S ribosomal RNA". It matches the Rfam family "Bacterial small subunit ribosomal RNA", at positions 1311 to 1500 of the family's 1533-position model. The record is from RNAcentral.
CCUGGCUACAUGAAGCUGGAAUCGCUAGUAAUCGCAGAUCAGAAUGCUGCGGUGAAUACGUUCCCGGGUCUUGUACACACCGCCCGUCACACCAUGGGAGUCGGAAAUGCCCGAAGUCGGUGACCCAACCGUUUAUGGAGGGAGCUGCCGAAGGCAGGUCUGGUGACUGGGGUGAAGUCGUAACAAGGUAUC